UUCCGUUGUGUUGUGGCUUUAUUUCGUUGUGUUGUGGCUUGUUUCCGUUGUGUUGUGAACUUAUGUUUGCUUUUUUAAUUUCGUUGUGUUGUGCACUACUGGGCCACCGUACAUAUGUCUAACCAAGCUGUGUUCAAAAUUUGAGGUUGAUAUCUCAAAAAUUGAAGUUCCUAUAACAUUUUGUUCAGUCUAAUCCACCCAAUUGCACAUUUUUGUAUUUCCGCCUGAAUUUGACAUACCCAAAUUUAAAUGUUCACCCUACACACAUACAGUGGAAGAAAUUUAAAAUGUUGGUGUCAUUGUACAGAGGAGAUAUACAUAUCAGGCAUGUGUUCAAAGCUGAGGAUCCUAUUUUUCCAGAGACAUGUCAAUCAAGCUUCUAGUCCACUCAGAUGGCGAGAUAUUCAACAAAUCAUUGAGGCAGACAGGCGGGAUCACACCGCAGCUUUACACACACGCACGCGCUUCAGUUUCACGUGGUGGGCGUGUGAUCGCGUCGCGAGUGAUGAGAGGAGCUGUUUGAUGGAAGAUUUGCAUGUGUUUUCAUAGUUUGUGUAUUGUUUUGACUUCUAAAAUGGCAUACGGAGAGGGAAAAGCACCAAUGGCACCAAUAAGCGAAGUACUUGAAAGAGAUGAGGCAUCGACCUGCAACGCCGUGUUAUGAUUCGGCGAAAAUGACAGCUCGCUUUUCUCGAGGGAGACGAGAGGACCCUGCGUUUGACUGAUGCUGCAUGAGAUGAGAUCAUGGACCACCGGCACAGAUGGUCCUCACCCUCAUCUCCAAGACAGGCCAGAAGAAGGUGAUGCUCUCAACACAAGGGACAAAAUAUUAUAGUGAUGCACAGAAUGAUAUAAAUGUGGAGGAUGUAGAUCAUGUUUUACAUUGUUAAAGACCACAUACAUUUUAUUUUAUAUGUUAUAUUGUCUUGUGUCACCUGAAAGGAGAAUAAAACGUAUAAAACGCUAAA
Molecule: long non-coding RNA, 968 nt
Organism: Megalobrama amblycephala (Wuchang bream)
Lineage: Eukaryota; Metazoa; Chordata; Actinopteri; Cypriniformes; Xenocyprididae
Exons: 2
Source: RefSeq, a predicted model, not a curated record